Molecule: ribosomal RNA, 253 nt
Filed under: uncultured bacterium
Lineage: Bacteria
Description: partial 16S ribosomal RNA
Rfam family: Bacterial small subunit ribosomal RNA
Source: RNAcentral
UACGUAGGGUGCAAGCGUUGUCCGGAAUUAUUGGGCGUAAAGGGCGCGUAGGUGGCCUUCUUAGUCAGACGUGAAAUCCCCGGGCUUAACUCGGGAACUGCGUCUGAUACUGGAAGGCUGGAGUUCGGGAGAGGAAUGUGGAAUUCCAGGUGUAGCGGUGAAAUGCGUAGAUAUCUGGAGGAACACCGGUGGCGAAGGCGGCAUUCUGGACCGAAACUGACGCUGAGGCGCGAAAGCCAGGGGAGCAAACGGG